AAGUCGUAACAAGGUUUCCGUAGGUGAACCUGCGGAAGGAUCAUUACCGAGUUCUCGGGCUUCGGCCCGAAUCUCCCACCCUUUGUGAACAUACCUCUGUUGCUUUGGCGGCUCUUGCCGCGUGGAGGCCCUCAAAAGCCCCCCCGCGCGCUUCCGCCAGAGGACCUUCAAACUCCAGUCAGUAAACGUCAACGUCUGAAAAACAAGUUAAUAAACUAAAA
Molecule: unclassified non-coding RNA, 221 nt
Filed under: plant metagenome
Description: partial contains small subunit ribosomal RNA and internal transcribed spacer 1
Rfam family: Eukaryotic small subunit ribosomal RNA (bases 1-46)
Source: RNAcentral